UACGUAGGGACCAAGCGUUGUUCGGAUUUACUGGGCGUAAAGGGCGCGUAGGCGGCGUGUUAAGUCAGUUGUGAAAUCUCCAAGCUUAACUUGGAACGGUCAACUGAUACUGAUGUGCUAGAGUGCAGAAGGGGCAACCGGAAUUCUUGGUGUAGCGGUGAAAUGCGCAGAUAUCAGGAGGAACACCAAUGGCGAAGGCAGCACUCUGGGACGUGACUGACGCUGAGACGCGAAAGCGUGGGGAGCAAACAGG
This 253-nucleotide ribosomal RNA is filed under the name uncultured bacterium. RNAcentral describes it as "partial 16S ribosomal RNA". It matches the Rfam family "Bacterial small subunit ribosomal RNA", at positions 524 to 776 of the family's 1533-position model. The record is from RNAcentral.